This 243-nucleotide ribosomal RNA is filed under the name uncultured bacterium. RNAcentral describes it as "partial 16S ribosomal RNA". It matches the Rfam family "Bacterial small subunit ribosomal RNA", at positions 524 to 765 of the family's 1533-position model. The record is from RNAcentral.
UACGGAGGGGGCUAGCGUUGUUCGGAAUUACUGGGCGUAAAGCGUGCGCAGGCGGUGAUGUAAGACAGAUGUGAAAUCCCCGGGCUCAACCUGGGAACUGCAUUUGUGACUGCAUCGCUGGAGUGCGGCAGAGGGGGAUGGAAUUCCGCGUGUAGCAGGUGAAAUGCGUAGAUAUGCGGAGGAACACCGAUGGCGAAGGCAAUCCCCUGGGCCUGCACUGACGCUCAUGCACGAAAGCGUGGG